RNAcentral lists this ribosomal RNA (497 nucleotides) under uncultured bacterium. RNAcentral's name for it is "partial 16S ribosomal RNA". It matches the Rfam family "Bacterial small subunit ribosomal RNA", at positions 28 to 507 of the family's 1533-position model. The record is from RNAcentral.
GAUGAACGCUGGCGGCGUGCCUAAUACAUGCAAGUCGAGCGAACAGACGAGGAGCUUGCUCCUCUGACGUUAGCGGCGGACGGGUGAGUAACACGUGGAUAACCUACCUAUAAGACUGGGAUAACUUCGGGAAACCGGAGCUAAUACCGGAUAAUAUAUUGAACCGCAUGGUUCAAUAGUGAAAGACGGUUUUGCUGUCACUUAUAGAUGGAUCCGCGCCGCAUUAGCUAGUUGGUAAGGUAACAGCUUACCAAGGCAACGAUGCGUAGCCGACCUGAGAGGGUGAUCGGCCACACUGGAACUGAGACACGGUCCAGACUCCUACGGGAGGCCGCAGUAGGGAAUCUUCCGCAAUGGGCGAAAGCCUGACGGAGCAACGCCGCGUGAGUGAUGAAGGUCUUCGGAUCGUAAAACUCUGUUAUUAGGGAAGAACAAAUGUGUAAGUAACUAUGCACGUCUUGACGGUACCUAAUCAGAAAGCAACGGCUAACUACGUG